UAUGUGAUCGUCUCUCGCAUAUCAAUAAGCGGAGGAAAAGAAACUAACAAGGAUUCCCCUAGUAACGGCGAGUGAAGCGGGAAGAGCUCAAAUUUGAAAUCUUAAAGGGUUUCCCUUUACGAAUUGUAGUUUAAAGAAGUGUUUUCUGUUGAGGUUUUGGUAAAAGUUCUUUGGAAUAGGACAUCAUAGAGGGUGAGAAUCCCGUAUUUGACCUUUACUUUCAACUUUGUGAUACGCUUUCAAAGAGUCGGAUUGUUUGGGAAUGCAGUCCAAAAUGGGUGGUAAAUUUCAUCUAAAGCUAAAUAUUGGCGAGAGACCGAUAGCGAACAAGUACCGUGAGGGAAAGAUGAAAAGAACUUUGAAAAGAGAGUUAAACAGUACGUGAAAUUGUCAAAAGGGAAGCGUUUGACACCAGUGUUGUUUUUCUGAAAAUCAAUUAAAGAACUGUUUAUGCUAAGCUGUUUAGACUUUAUCAGCUAUCUGUUUAGUUUUGAGCUUUUCUUUAAUGCACUUUUCAGUUAACAAGUCAACAUCAAUUUCUUUUGCUGUAAAAAAGCUUGAGGAAGGUGGCUUGAGAUUCGUCUUAAGUGUUUAUAGCCUCUUGCCUAUGCAGUCGGAGAGAUUGAGGUCUGCAGCGUAGAUCCUUCGGGGCUAAAUGCAUUUGUGCUAAGUUAUAGCAUUUUAUAGACAACUUGUUGACUAUGAUUUGUCUUGUAGCUUACUCGCUUAUGUUAUUUUACCUACGCUUAGGAUGUUGAUCUACAGAGCGAGAGU
This 774-nucleotide ribosomal RNA is filed under the name uncultured Neocallimastigales. RNAcentral describes it as "partial large subunit ribosomal RNA". It matches the Rfam family "Eukaryotic large subunit ribosomal RNA", at positions 24 to 635 of the family's 3401-position model. The record is from RNAcentral. Lineage: Eukaryota; Fungi; Neocallimastigomycota; Neocallimastigomycetes; Neocallimastigales.